ACCUAACCGGUCCAACCUCCCACCCGUGUCUAUCGUACCUUGUUGCUUCGGCGGGCCCGCCAUUCGUGGCAGCCGGGGGGCAUCUCGCCCCCGGGCCCGCGCCCGCCGGAGACACCAACACUAACACUGUCUGAAGGUUGCACUCUGAGUCCAUUUAUUUAAUCGUUAAAACUUUCAACAACGGAUCUCUUGGUUCCGGCAUCGAUGAAGAACGCAGCGAAAUGCGAUAAUUAAUGUGAAUUGCAGAAUUCAGUGAAUCAUCGAGUCUUUGAACGCACAUUGCGCCCCCUGGUAUUCCGGGGGGCAUGCCUGUCCGAGCGUCAUUGCUGCCCUCAAGCACGGCUUGUGUGUUGGGUCGCCGUCCCCUUCCCGGGGGACGGGCCCGAAAGGCAGCGGCGGCACCGCGUCCGGUCCUCGAGCGUAUGGGGCUUUGUCACCCGCUCUGUAGGCCCGGCCGGCGCCUGCCGACCACCAACCUUUUUUUAACCAGGUUGACCUCGGAUCAGGUAGGGAUACCCGCUGAACUUAAGCAUAUCAA
RNAcentral lists this ribosomal RNA (538 nucleotides) under Aspergillus dimorphicus. Its description in RNAcentral is "eukaryotic LSU rRNA". The stretch from base 170 to 323 matches the Rfam family "5.8S ribosomal RNA". The record is from RNAcentral. Lineage: Eukaryota; Fungi; Ascomycota; Eurotiomycetes; Eurotiales; Aspergillaceae.